This 12300-nucleotide long non-coding RNA is filed under the name Populus trichocarpa (black cottonwood). RNAcentral's name for it is "long non-coding RNA (PTRI_LNC003228)". Lineage: Eukaryota; Viridiplantae; Streptophyta; Magnoliopsida; Malpighiales; Salicaceae. The record is from RNAcentral.
AAAAAAGAUAGAUUUUUCCCUCAUAAAAUCGAAAUAGUGUUUAUUUAGAGAGGGAAUCAUGGCAGCACAAAACCCUUUUCAAGCAAAUUUAACGACUCUUAAGGAGAAUCUUUCGUCCACCGCACCAAGCGGGACAGAGCUAGAUCCAUAAACAAUUGGAGGUUCUCGCUCAUCUCUUGGGGUCCAUAUCAUCUGAAAACUUUUCCUGUUCCAUUAGCAUAGCUAAAUUUGAAUAGGAUGACUCAGUGUCAGGAAAAGUAAGCCCCCCUUGCCUGGGCUAAAGCUAAAGCAAACGACAAGGAAUUGAACAAACAUAAGAUCAAAUAUUCAAAUAAAAACAAAGAAUCUUCCAAAAGAAUAAGAAAAAUUUACUUUCUAUUGAUUUAAUCGUGCAGUGCACAGAUAAAUACAACAGUAAAUCGAGUGUUAAUAUAUACAUGGAAAAAAAAAACACGCCAUCGCCUUCAAGUUCCAGCAUCACGGUCUUCCAUUACUUACUGGUUGGCAGAAAGAGCCUUGACCAUCCCAUGAUUUCUCAUCCAGAGCUGAAUCAACUGGAAGCAAAAAAAAUAUUGUCAAGGCAAAACCACGGAUAAGCCUUGGCAGAAAAGAAAGAGAAUAUAUAUAAGCAAAUACAUUUACAUGCAGGGUAAAAAGGGGUAUCACAUUCUUUCUAACUGAGUUAAGAAUGCGCAGAGUAUAGAAAAAGCUGAACAGCUCUUUCCAGCAAAGCAUACCCCUUCUAGGCGAUGACACCACAUAAGUUAGCCCCCCAGACCAAGGGAAAUCUAAAGAACCCUGAUGCCACAAAUUUGAAUCAAGAUAUUUAAAGGCCAAUCUAUAACCCCAGCAAAAGAUUUAAAGAUGCCAUGGCCAUUUACAAGAAAAAAUCACCCAACAAACUGGUGACUUGACCACUCAUGCGGUGACCCAAAUCAAUUUUAACAUCUCGUUAUUCCACAUUUAGUGUCCCAAAUCAAUGGGGACAUAUAAGCAGCAGACCAGACAUGCCCUGAUCCGAUAUAUCCACAAGGCAAAAGUAAAGAUGGGCACUUGGUUGUGCAGCAUGGGUUAAUAAUAUAAGUCCAUCACCAUACAUUACAUGGCAUGCAUCUCUCCUCCUUAACCCGGGCUUGAGACCGGCUGUGUGCUAUGAAAUGCAGCACAGGCGGAGUUACAUGCAUUCAACCACACACAGGUACCAACAAGCACUCAACAGAGAAAUAAGCAUGCAGAAGCAAACUCUUCCAAAAAGACAGGCCUAAGCACAUCAUAAAAGCAAUGGAUAUCAAACGAACCCCAGUACAGAUUAUAGAAUCGAGCAUUCAAAAACCUUGAGCUGUAAAAUCAUAUUUGCUGCAUACUUUGCAAAACUGUAGCUCCUCUUAGAACAACACUUUGACAGAUCAACGUUCACUACCACAAUCUGAAACCACGGAACCAAAAUUCAAGGACAAACAGAAACCUCGAUCCAUGCAAAGCAACUUGACAAUUCCAACAACAAUAGCUUUGUUUUUCACACGUACUUAAUGCGGGAGAUAUCAAACACCUUCGAAAACCAUCAGAUUGGUACACAGGUAUUCAGAAGUGAAAGAAUAUUUUACAAGAUCCAACACAUUACCAAAGGCAAUCUUAACCCAAACCAUGAAGUAAAUUCAGUAUUUGAUAUGGCAACAUGAUUCGACCACAACUUCAAAUAGCAGAAGCUCAGGCAAAAAACAAAAAGCCAAAAUACCAAAGUGAAGCACAGCUGGUAAUCCCUGCAAACCAAAUUCACCAAACAAUAACCAGCCAUCCAUCAACAACUCCAACAGCCAAGUAGACACUGCCAUUUAAUAGGAAGACUAAGCCAGACUCAGCCAUAAACUGAGCAGCCAGCAAGACUUUCAAUGGGUCAAUAGCCAUCCACUGGUUCCUAAAACACAAUGAGCAUAGGCAACAGAGACACAGGUCUGCAGGUCAAGCCUACCACAUGCGUCAAGUAUAGCCAACAUCAGAACACCACCAUUACUUAGCAAAGACAAAUGGACAUGAAACUACCAUUUCUAAAAUUCACAAACCCGAAACAUUGAGAAUAUCCAAGACUUGACCAGCAUCCGCUGAUCCAAAAAAAACACAGUACAAGGCACCGCAUGGUAGACAAGUGUUUUAACGAGAAAGGAGAAGACAUUCCAGCUGUUGAAAUGUCAGUAGCUAGCAGCUUCAUCCAUGUUCAUCAGCCCCAGAAAAGACUCAAAGCCAAGAAAUAUUGAUGAAAAGAACAAGAGUUGACGCAAAGGAAAUCAAUUAAAAGCAAAGGAACCUUCUAGAAACACUUGCCAUCUGAUCUUUACAUGUAUCUCCAAAAGAAGCUGAUCCAUCAAUUACCCUCCUAUAAAAGAACAAUUUCGCAGGAAAGAUUACAACCAGAACAGAAACUCAUCUAGUAUCCCAAAGCAACCCCAAGCAUCAAGGACUCGCUUCACCAUUCUCAUUCCUGUUGAAGUUUCAGGAUUUUAUAAAAAUAAACUUAAACAAGAGCACACCAACAAAAACCAACUUGACCUUGUUACUCAGAACUUGAAAAGGAGGAGCCAUUUGGAAAAACCUAUAACAGCACAAUGAAGGCAGAGCAGAUAGCAACAUGGGAAAAUUUGCAGAUCCAUAGCAUUAGUGAAACAAUAGUUGGCUCACUUGUAACUUUCUAAUCAAAUUGCAAAAGCAGAGGAUCAGACAACUUCGAGAGAGAAUCUGAAAUAAGAGCUUUGAGGAAAAAAUAUGAUUAACCAGAUGUCACAUCACCAAGACCCUGAAGAAACACUCCUCAUAAAUGAGCCUUGGGACCCUGAAAAGAUGAAAGGUAAAAACAAAUUCAGCCAAUCACUUCAUAUGUACAAAGAGAGAGUUAAAGAGGAUGAACCCAAAGCAAACUAGACGCGUAUAGAACCGAGUUACACACACUCCCCAGUCUGAGAAAGGAAAGAAGUAAUUCAUGUAUCAGCAAAAGCAAAAGACAUUACUCAAUGCCCAACAAUUUUGAGCUUUGCCCUGCCUGCAAAAUAGAUGGCCCGACAAUUUUGAAGGAACAAAACCUAAACCAAGAGCAUAUAGAAGAAAAAGCAGAGCAAUCAGAAGUCACACAUUACUAAGACCCAAAAGCAACAAAUUCCCUUGUAAGUUUAAGACCACCCAAAAACACAGAAAAGCUUAGAAUCGAUGUAAGUAGAAGCGGAUUAUUUUCAUUUAUAUUGCACAACCAAAAUUAAGGAAACAACAUGUUUACAAGUUGUUGGGAAAAUAAUUAUCUUUGAAAACAUCUGUAAUGUGUAGAAUAAAUAACCGCUGACAGGGGAAAAUAUUUAUGAGAGAAUAACAUGUCAAGACAAAAUAAUUUCCAUAAAAAAUGCGCAAACCUAGUUACAGAUUUUACCUCUAUUUGAUAAUUAGUAAGCAUAGAUGUAAAGCAAAUUAAAGCAAAUUAAAACGCAUCUGGUGCUUUGCCAGUUGUGGAGAGCUGUUAUCAUUUGAUUACACUUGAAAACAAACCAUUGUAAUUCUUGAAGACACCCUGAGAAACAUAGUCAAAGAGAUCCUCCUUGAUGCUGAAACAAAUGGGUAUGUUGUCGAUGGUACAAAUAGAAACAACAAGAAUCAAAAGCAAGAGGAACACUCCUUGGUAUAUCUUGGCCGGAAUUUAUUUAAUUAAGAAAAACAAAGAGAUCCUAUAAACAUGCAAACAGAGCUUAGACUCUAGUUUUGUUAAGUAAAAAAAAAGGUGAUUAAAAUGCAAAAACAAUUUUGAACAGACAAUUUAACAACUCACAAGCUUCUGAAAGCAAAAUAAGAAAGAAUGCUCAAGAAAUAUUUAGCAAGAAGAUAUAGAGGAAGAAGCAGGGGAAGAAGCAAAGAAAAACCUCAAGAACAAGGCAAAGGAGACCUGCUGUAGUAAGACAAGCAUACUAAUAACCUCCCAUUCACUGAAAAAACAUACAACCAAAUCAUAAGUUAAAAAACACAACUUAAAUGCAAAAAAACACAUGCUGGCAUCACAAUUAGUGAUAUAGCAAAUCGCAUAUAAAGUCACCCUGUUCACUCUUUAACUUAAUUUCAUUUUAAUAGGAGAUUGUAUAAAGUCAAAUACUACUUACUACUAUUACCACCACCACCACUACUAGUAAUAAUAGCAGCAGUAAUAAAAAUAAUAAAUAAAUAACAGAAGAACAACAAACAUGAAGAGAGUGCAGAGAAGCUCUCAAAAGCAUCAAUCAUCUGAUCACAAAGAAUAUAAACACCCUCCAAUCCAUGCCCUAAAAAUGCUUGAUGAGAUCCCAUUAAAACACACAAUUAAAACACAGACACUAGCUCUAUUGUUUUAGAAUCAAAAGAAAAGUGGUGGUUUAAAAUGUAGAAACAAGGUAAGAAGACACUUGGCAUACAACAUCAUCUAGAAAACACCUGCACAAAAUAGAAUUAAAAUUAACGAGAAUAAAAGAUUUCGAUAUACUCAAGGAAGAAUGUAUCAAGAAAACAAGAGUACAGAAAAAUGUCCCCUAUUGGAAAACAACUGCACAAAAUAGAAUUAAAAUUAACAAGAAUAAAAGAUUUUGAUAUACUCAAGGAAGAAUGUAUCAGGAAAACAAUAGUACAGAAAAAUGUCCCCUAUUGGUAAACCUUUGACUUGGAGCUGGUAGAACCUGCCUUGAGCAGACUGCACCGUGUUACAAUUCCUUGUUUAAUUUUAGUCCAUGCCCUAAAGGGUUGAUGAGAUCCAACAAAAACACACAAUUAAAACAAGGACUCUAGCUCUAUUAAACAGGUGGAAAUUUAAUAAGACAAAAAGGAGUUGAAGAGGGACUUAAGUAGCGCAAAAUUCUGAAACAUCAUAUAUAAAAGACUAGUGUUGCUUGAACUUCAUGUUCCUGGAAUGACACAAAAUAAGGUUCUUAGACCAAACACUCAAAAUGCAAUGCAACAUAAAAAAAUACAAGAAAAGGCAAAAAACAAAAGCAGGUAAUGAAUUAAACAAUCCUUGGUUGAUUCUAGUCCAAAUAUGUUCCUUCAUUUAUUUGGAGAGAUCCUAGAUGAGAAGGUACCACUAAAGGUCAGACACUAGCAGCAUGAAUAAACUUGGGACUGUAGCUCCAUUACACAAAUGAAUGUGUUUAAAACAGCUACGCAGAAACUUAGCUCACUGCAAAUUUCAGAGGCUCAAGUGCAGAAGACUCCAAUGUUCGAAGUCCUAACACAAAUUGGAACUGAAACUUAAGACUAUAUAUCAUAAGCAGGUGAAAGAAAGGAGUAGGAAAUAUUAUCAAGCACUCCCCAGCUUAAGCCUGAUUAGCAUAUAUCCCUUGACACAGCUUAAGGAUCCUGAAAAAAUACACAAGCAAGCAGCAGAACAGACACCAGUCACAAUUUCACAGAAUCAAGGAUUAAAAUGUAAAAAUAGUCACAAAAUACGUGUACAUUGUUCUUGAAAACAUCCUUGCCUACAAACCACUACACCGAGUUAAAAGAGGACUGCAAGCUCAAAAGCCUCAUGUAAGAAAAAAAAAAUACAAAAAACUCAUUAUCAACUUCAUUCUCCAGAAAAGACACAUCUUAGUAAAAGACAAAAAUACUAGCAAAGAAAGGAAAGGGUAGGUAAUAAAAUAAACACUCCCAGAUAAUUGUAGUCCACAUCCUCGUUAAAUUGGAAGGAUCCUAGAAAAAAGUUUAAUGUCAGACACUAGUCAUUCUCCAGAAAAGACACAUCUUAGUAAAAGACAAAAAUACUAGCAAAGAAAGGAAAGGGUAGGUAAUGAAAUAAACACUCCCAGAUAAUUGUAGUCCACAUCCUUGUUAAAUUGGAAGGAUCCUAGAAAAAAAUUAAAUGUCAGACACUAGUUAUAUUUUAGUGAAUAUAAGAACUUACUAGAAUGAAAAGGCAAAGUUUAACAAAAACUCGUUUUGAUCUAAAAUGGAAAGGCAUCUUAAGAAACUCUUUAUGUAAUCUUGUUGAAAACACUAUCAGCCAGAAAGUAUCUGCACAAAAUAAAAGAAAAUUAAGCAAGCAGAAGAAUGGUCAGAAGUUAAUGGGGAAAUAAGAGAGAUAAAAAACAGCACUAUUGGUGAAGUUGAUUUGAAGUUGGUAGAAAGUAACAAGAAGCCAAUGCAAAAAGCACAAGCAAACUACACCAAAUUUCCUCAAAACAGUUGAUGAUAGAUUAGGGGGAGAAGACACGAUUAAUAUCAAAAGCUAGUUAUUUAACCCAUAUAAACUAUAUAAGACUUGGAAAAGGAAUUAAAGAUGAAUUUAGUCUCCAGUCGAAGUUUCAAAAGCACCAUUUAAGCGCUCUCAUCGCACGGAGUCGAUGACCCUGAAAACAAAACUUGUACGCUGUUCUUGAAAACAUCCUUGCCUACAAACCACUACACCGAGUUAAAAGGGGACUGCAAGCUCCAAAGCUUCAUGUAAGGAAAAAAAACUCAUUAUCAACUUCAUUCUCCAGAAACGACACAACUAGCAAGACAAAAAUACCAGAACAUAAAGGAAAGGGUAGGUAAUGAAAUAAACACUCCCAGAUAACUGCAGUCCACAUCCUUGAUAAAUUGGAGGGAUCCUAGAAAAAAGUUUGCAAGUAAAGGUCAGACUCUAGUUAUAUUUUAAUAAAUAUAAGAACUUGUUGACUAGAAUGAAAAGGCAACGUUUAACAAAAACUUGUUUUGAUCUAAAAUGGAAAGGCAUCUUAAGAAACUGUGUAAUCUUGUUGGAAACACUAUCAGCCAGAAUGUAUCUGCACAAAAUAAAAGAAAAUUAAGCAGGCAGAAGAAUGGUCAGAAGUUAAUGGGGAAAUAAGAGAGAUAAAAAACAGCACUAUUGGUGAAGUUGAUUUGAAGUUGGUAGAAAGUAACAAGAAGCCACUGCAAAAAGCACAAGCAAACUACACCAAGUUUCCUCAAAACAGUUGAUGAUAGAUUAGGGGAAGAAGACAUGAUUAAUAUCAAAAGCUAGUUAUUUAACCCAUAUAAACUAUAUAAGACUUGGAAAAGGAAUUAAAGAUGAAUUUAGUCUCCAGUCGAAGUUUCAAAAGCACCAUAUAUGCCUCCAUGAACCUGAAAACCAAAAGCUUACAAAUAAGCACACUCUAGUAUGUCCCAGUGCCACGCAGAAAAAUACAAAAAGCAUUAAAUUGAAGGGUAAUCCUAGUGUUAUAUGUUCCUUUCAAACUGAACAAAUCCUUAAGAAAAUGCAAACAAAAAGCAGACACAAAUUUAACGAUUGAAAUGAGAAAACAAAGGAAAAGGCACUUGAUCCAUCACUGUUGAAAACUGAUAAUGAAAACAAUAGGAAAGAAAAAUGGAUCCUCUUGGUGGAGCUUAGCUUGGAGCUGGAAUUAUAAUUCCUUGUUUACUUUCAAACCAUUGCCUAAAUGCUUGAUGGCAUCCUAAAAGAACACAAAAUUAAAACUCAAAGCCUAGCUCCUUUUAAACAAGUACAAAUUUUAUUAAAAGAUACAAAGGCAGAGACAAAGAAUCACUUAUGAGCACUCCAAAGUUUGAAGCAUCACGUAUAAAAGACGUUCAUAGUUCCAACUUCAUGCACCUGGAAAGACAGGAAGUUGGAAUCUUAAAUCAUACAUAAAGGAAAAAAAAUGUAAGCAGAGAAAGGAAAAGAUGUAGGCUAUGAAUCCGGAUCUAAUUGUCAUCCAAAUAUGGUUCUUGAUACAUUUUGGAAGGAUCCUACACAAACAUGCAACUGAAGGUAAAAUUCUAGUUACACAAGUAAUCUGGAACUGUAGCUCUAUUAAACAGAUGGAAGCAUUUAAAACAGCAAAGCAGAAACUUAGUUCACUGCAAGUUCAUGAGCAUCAAGCAAAAGACUCAAUUGUUCACUGGAAUAACACAAACAAAAACUUACUACAGUACAAUAAAGCACGUACACCACUCCCUGACUUAAACUCGAGUUCAUAUGCAUUCCUUGACAACAAGAAGGAUACUGGAAAAAUAAACAACAGUAAUAUUUUGUAGAGUCAAGAAAAACGGUGGAUUGAAAUGUAAAAUAAUAUUACAAGACACUAGAUGCAUUUUUCUCAGAAAACUCCAUCUAGAUGUCUGCCCAAAAUGGAAUUAAAGUAAUGAACAUAAGAAAAUGUUGAGAGAGAGAUUCCAAAGCAAGGCAAAAAAAGAAUUUAUAAGAAAAACAAGGUAAAGCAAGAUGGCUCCUACUGAUAAAGCUUAGACCCAGUAACAAAAACCAUUGCCUUGAGCAGACAGCACCGAGUUGCCCAUUCCCUAGAAUGCUUGCUACGAUCCUAAAAGAAUUAAAGAAGAAAUUGUAUACACAAAUACAGAUUUAAAAUAGAAGUGCAAGUUGCAAAGAAUCACCAUUGUCCAACUAUAAGCUUCUAGAAAAAAAAAUCAAUCAGAAUGUUCGUCUGAACACUCAAAUUUAAUGCAAGGCAGAGGAAAGAGUACUCUGAAAUAAACACCUCCAAGCAAUCAUAAUCCAUAUAUGUUCCUUGAUAACUUGGAGGGAUCCUGGAAAAACAUGCAAGCAAACAUCGGACACAAGUUAUAUUUUAGUAUAAAUUAAAACUUGUUGACUAGAAUGAAAAAAACAAAGUUAAGAAACACUAAUUUUGAAAUAAAUGAAAGGGAAAGGUUAGGAAACACUUGGUGCUAUCUUAUUGAAAAUAUUAUCUAGAAAAAUCUGCAAAAAAUAAAACAAAAAUAAGCAAGCAUACCUACUGUUGACACAGUUGUCAGAAGUUGAAAGUGAUAUGGAGAGAAAUGAGCAAAGAAAACAGCCCCAUUGCAAGUAAAAUUUGAAGCAGCUCGGAGGUAACAAAAAAACCACUGCAAAAAUCUCAAGCUCUUGGAAGAACACACAAUACCCAAAUGCUACCUAUUUAACCAGUGUAGAUUAUACAGGACUCAGAGGAACUUAGUCUCCAAUGCAAGUUUCAAAAGCUUCAUAGCAUAACUCUCAUUGCACGAAGUCCAUGACUGAAUGGAUCCAGGAAAAACAUGCAAAGAAAAAAGCCAAGACAAAAGUAUUGAUUGAAAUGAGAGAAGAAAGUUGAAGACACCUGAUCUAUUACUGUUGAAAAGUUAUUGGUUCAAUCAAUGUCAAGUUAGUUCCAGAACUUUGCCAGCCAAACAUUCAUUACAGCAAGCCACACUUUGUUUUCCAUUACAAAACAAAUGGGGUCCUAGGAAACCUCAAACAAACAGAAUCUAAAACAAAUGGUGAAAAAUAAGAAUGUUGACUGCAAUACCAAAAUAAAGUUAAGAGACACCGUGCCCUCCUGAAAGCAACAUGAUCAGUACAAAUGCACAGAGUAUAACAGCAUUCAGCCAAGAAUAGCUUUAUUUAAUUCAGAACAGUGCAAUCUGAAGAGAAAGAAAGGAAAUCAAACCAGCUAGGCUAGAAUUUCUCCCAUGGCAAGCACUCCAAUCACUGUCAAGUAGGGUCCAAAAAGAAUCUGACUUGUAUGAGAAUAGCAGAAUAUUCUUUCCAAAAUAAAUCUGACUCGUAUGUUUUCUCAAAUUGACAGCUUGAUUAGCCUCCUACCAUUAAUUCCCUGUUAGUCAGGGAUUCUCUUGAAACAUCCAAUGCCACUGAGCGAAACUAGGACAAAAAAAUUGAUGAAAGCAUAUGAAAAACCGGGUAAGGAAGAUCAAGGACACAAAACUUGUCAAAACUGUUAUACCAUUCUCUAUCACAAAAACACAUGGCAGAAACUUCUCCACGGCAAGAUUCCAAUAGAAAAUAUAUAUCCAAUUAAUUUCAAUCCUGGAAGUAGUAGAAUCAAAAGCAAAUUAAACAAAACAGCCUCACGAUGAUCCAAACUCCAUUCAUAAGCAAAAUGAACCAAAAAUAUUCAUCAUCACUAAAAAAAACUUCAUAGUUCAAGAAACCCUAAAUUUCCUUCAUCACUGAAACCAUGGUCUUCACAGUUUGCAGAAGAUUGCAGAAAGCUACAAAGACCAAAAGAAAGAAACGAUGAAGAGAGUCCAUGCUCCUGGAGUAACACAAACUCAAAACUUGAUACUAAAAUAUAAUAACCAGGUAAAGAAAAGGAGAAGUUAACAUAAUGAACACUCCCAGGGCUUAACUCUAGGUCAUGGUUUCCUUAACAAGCAUGAAUGGUCCUGGAAAAACUCAUUGCUCGAACAUCAUGCUCUUGGAAAGACAUAAAUUAGAAUCUUAAACCAGACACUCAAAAUCUUGAUGCAAGAUAAAAGGAAAAUACAAGCAAAGAAAGGAAAAGAAGUAGGUAAUGCUUCCUGGGUUGAAUGUAGUUCAAACAUGGUCCUUGAUAAAUUUAAAAGGAUCCUAGAAAAGUGUCCAACUAAAGGUCAAACACUAACAUAAAUGAUCGAAGCAAAAACUUAGGUCACUGCAAUUUUGUGACCAAAAGAAAGAAACGAUGAAGAGAGUCCAUGCUCCUGGAGUAACACAAACUCAAAACUUGAUACUAAAAUAUAAUAACCAGGUAAAGAAAAGGAGAAGUUAACAUAAUGAACACUCCCAGGGCUUAACUCUAGGUCAUGGUUUCCUUAACAAGCAUGAAUGGUCCUGGAAAAUAACACAAACGAGGAGAUAAAAGUUACUGUUUUGUAAAACCAAGAACAAAUUGUAGAUUAAAAUGUAAAAAAACAAUUAGAAGACACUGGGUGCAUUGUUCUUGAAAACAUCAUCAUCUAGAAACAUCUGCACAAAAUGAAAUAAAAUUAACAUAGAAAUAUUUUAAAAAAACGAGAGAAUAUAAAAAAUGGAUCCUAGUGGUAAAGCUUUGAAGCUGGUAGAACCAGUAACAAGAAACCACCUCCUUUAAGCAGCCCGCUAGGAAAAGGGUAAGGCAGCUCAAAAUGGAGGCUUGGCUUGAAACGACUGCGCCAAGUUAUAAUUCCUCGUUUACUUUGAGGGCAUUCCCUAUAAUGCUUGAUAGAUCCCUAAAAGAACACACGAUUACAAUUCUCACCCAACCUCUAUUAAAGUAGUAGAACUGGGUAAUGUACAAAUAUAGAAACUGAGUAAGUUACAAAUACAAAAUUAGAAAGAGGACAGCAGGUUCCAAAGCAUCAUGUAAUAAAAAAAAAACCCCAUCGUUCAACUCCAUGCUCCUGGAAAACACAUAAUUGGAAUCUUAGGCUAAACAAUCAAAAUUUAAUGCAAGACAGAAUAAUACAAGCUGAGGAAGGACAAGGGUAGUUAAUGGAAUAAAUACUCCCAAAAAAUUGCAGCCCAUAUAUGUUCCUUGAUAAAUUGCAAGGAUCCUAGAAAAACAAGUGGGAGAAGGUUAGACCUUAGUUAUGUUUUGGUAAAUUAAACUUGUUGACUAGAAUGAAACAUUUGUUUUGAUCUGCGAUCGGAAGCUGAAUCAGAAAAGCAAAGUAAGGAAAUACUUGGUGAUCUUGUGGAAAACAUAAUCAUCUAGAAAAUAUCUGCACAAAAUAAAACAAAUAAAAGGAUUGUUGAGAGAGAGCUGUCAGCAGUUGAAAAGGAUAUGGAGAUAAAAGAGCAAAGAAAACAGUCCUGUUGCUGAAGUUGGAAAUAGAGAUAAAACCACUGACAAAAGGCCAAGAAAACAUGCAAAACAAAAGGCCAACAUAAAAUUAUUGAUCAAAAUGAGAAAUCGAAGUUAAAGAUGCUUGGUCCAUAAGUGUUGAAAAGUGAUCAGCUAUAAAAAAUCUUGGCGGGGUGAAAAUGAAAAGAAGCAGCCCAAGCAACGCCGAGGUAAUUACGAAAUAUGCCAGCUCAAACAUUCCUUACAGCACUGAAAAAGCAGACGUCAUUUUCCAUUCGAAAACUAAAGGGGUCCUGGGAGCCACAAACAAACAGCAUCUAGGAUAAGUGGGUUAGGAAUGAGAAUUGUUGACUGCAAUCCAAAAUAAAGUAAGGGGACACCAUGCCCUGCUAUAUAAGCAUCAUGACCGCACAAGUGUUGAUUCCGAAAUAUGCCAGCCCAAACAUUCCUUAAAGCACUGAAAAAGCAGACUUCAUUUUUCAUUCGAAAACUAAAGGGGUCCUGGGAGCCACAAACAAACAGCAUCUAAAAUAAGUGGAGCAAACGAAUGAAAAUUGUUGACUGCAAGCCAGAAUUAAGUUAGGGGACACCAUGCCCUGCUAUAAGCAUCAUGACCGCACAAAUGAGGAGGAAGCCAUUUGCAAAAAAGACUAGUUAAAUUAAUUCAGAAUCGUGCAAACUGAAGAGGAAGUAAAGGAAGCAAACCAGCCAGACUACAUUUUCUCACAUCACUCGCCUUCCAGAACUGUCACAGGUUCCCAAAAAAUAUUAUAAAGUUAAGUGACACCAUGCCAGAUAUAAGCAU